RNAcentral lists this transfer RNA (66 nucleotides) under Marmota monax (woodchuck). RNAcentral describes it as "tRNA.Val". Lineage: Eukaryota; Metazoa; Chordata; Mammalia; Rodentia; Sciuridae. The record is from RNAcentral.
GGAUUGUGGCUCAGUGGUAGAGCGCUUGCCUCACGUGUGAGACACUGGGUUCGAUUUUUAGCACCA